Molecule: ribosomal RNA, 301 nt
Filed under: uncultured bacterium
Lineage: Bacteria
Description: partial 16S ribosomal RNA
Rfam family: Bacterial small subunit ribosomal RNA
Source: RNAcentral
CAGUCGCCGCGGGAAUACGUAGGUGGCAAGCGUUGUCCGGAAUUAUCGGGCGUAAAGCGCGCGCAGGCGGAUCAGUCAGUCUGUCUUAAAAGUUCGGGGCUUAACCCCGUGAUGGGAUGGAAACUGCUGAUCUAGAGUAUCGGAGAGGAAAGUGGAAUUCCUAGUGUAGCGGUGAAAUGCGUAGAUAUUAGGAAGAACACCAGUGGCGAAGGCGACUUUCUGGACGAAAACUGACGCUGAGGCGCGAAAGCCAGGGGAGCGAACAGGAUUAGAUACCCCUGUAGUCCCUGUCUCUUAUACA